RNAcentral lists this ribosomal RNA (637 nucleotides) under uncultured bacterium. RNAcentral describes it as "bacterial SSU rRNA". It matches the Rfam family "Bacterial small subunit ribosomal RNA", at positions 607 to 1244 of the family's 1533-position model. The record is from RNAcentral.
GCUCAACCGAGGAAGUGCUUCGAAAACUGGUAAACUUGAGUGCAGAAGAGGAAAGUGGAACUCCAUGUGUAGCGGUGGAAUGCGUAGAUAUAUGGAAGAACACCAGUGGCGAAGGCGGCUCUCUGGUCUGUAACUGACGCUGAGAUUCGAAAGCAUGGGUAGCAAACAGGAUUAGAUACCCUGGUAGUCCAUGCCGUAAACGAUGAGUGCUAAGUGUUGGAGGGUUUCCGCCCUUCAGUGCUGCAGCUAACGCAUUAAGCACUCCGCCUGGGGAGUACGAUCGCAAGAUUGAAACUCAAAGGAAUUGACGGGGGCCCGCACAAGCGGUGGAGCAUGUGGUUUAAUUCGAAGCAACGCGAAGAACCUUACCAGGUCUUGACAUACUAUGAAAAGCUAAGAGAUUAGUCUUUCCCUUCGGGGACAUGGAUACAGGUGGUGCAUGGUUGUCGUCAGCUCGUGUCGUGAGAUGUUGGGCUAAGUCCCGCAACGAGCGCAACCCUUAUUAUCAGUUGCCAGCAUUCAGUUGGGCACUCUGGUGAGACUGCCGGUGACAAACCGGAGGAAGGUGGGGACGACGUUAAAUCAUCAUGCCCCUUAUGACCUGGGCUACACACGUGCUACAAUGGUCGGUACAACG